UACGUAGGGUGCGAGCGUUGUCCGGAAUUAUUGGGCGUAAAGGGCUCGUAGGCGGUCUGUUGCGUCGGGAGUGAAAACUCAGGGCUUAACCCUGAGCCUGCUUCCGAUACGGGCAGACUAGAGUGCGGUAGGGGAGACUGGAAUUCCUGGUGUAGCGGUGAAAUGCGCAGAUAUCAGGAGGAACACCGGUGGCGAAGGCGGGUCUCUGGGCCGUAACUGACGCUGAGGAGCGAAAGCGUGGGGAGCAAACAGG
Molecule: ribosomal RNA, 253 nt
Filed under: uncultured bacterium
Lineage: Bacteria
Description: partial 16S ribosomal RNA
Rfam family: Bacterial small subunit ribosomal RNA
Source: RNAcentral